GAUGAAGAACGCAGCGAAGUGCGAUAAGUAGUGUGAAUUGCAGAAUUUCGUGAAUCAUCGAAUCUUUGAACGCAAAUUGCACUCUCCGGUUUUCCGGGAGAGUAUGCCUGUUUGAGGGUCAGCCUAAAUAAAUUCGGCUUCGUUGCUGUGUUUCGCGGUAACGUUUUAGUCGGAAUUUGGGUCAUCUUAAACCGAAAGGUCUUAAGCGACUUAAAAAUUUUUUUUACGAUCCCACGAACGUUUCUAAGAUCUUCUUACAUGUUCAAGGUGUCGAAUACCCUAUUAGUCGUGACCGUCGUAUUGGAUCGCGUCCAUAAUAUUUAUUCUUUAACUGACCUCAGACAGGUAAGAGUACCCGCUGAACUUAAGCAUAUCAAUAAGCGGAGGA
RNAcentral lists this unclassified non-coding RNA (388 nucleotides) under soil metagenome. RNAcentral's name for it is "partial contains 5.8S ribosomal RNA, internal transcribed spacer 2, and large subunit ribosomal RNA". The stretch from base 1 to 121 matches the Rfam family "5.8S ribosomal RNA", at positions 35 to 154 of the family's 154-position model. The record is from RNAcentral.